Long non-coding RNA from Maniola jurtina (meadow brown), 199 nucleotides. RefSeq lists it as uncharacterized. NCBI's taxonomy places the organism in Eukaryota, Metazoa, Arthropoda, Insecta, Lepidoptera, Nymphalidae. The transcript is spliced from 2 exons. The record is from RefSeq and is a predicted model, not a curated record.
ACUGAAACAACGUCUCAAAUAAUCUUCAGGACAAUAAACAUUGUGUUAUCCGUGAAAGUGUUGAAAAAAACCAUUUAAAGAUUUUGAUCGUGAGUUUUGAUUGCAAGUUCCCGCGGUUAAUUUGGUAGCGCUGUACUAAUUUUGUGAAUCUUUAUGUGAGGAAUUUGAACAGUCAUUCUGGAGGUGUGGACUGUGGUUG